RNAcentral lists this ribosomal RNA (253 nucleotides) under uncultured bacterium. RNAcentral's name for it is "partial 16S ribosomal RNA". It matches the Rfam family "Bacterial small subunit ribosomal RNA", at positions 524 to 776 of the family's 1533-position model. The record is from RNAcentral.
UACGUAGGGACCGAGCGUUGUCCGGAAUCAUUGGGCGUAAAGAGCGUGUAGGCGGCCACUUAAGUCCUGCGUGAAAUCUUGCGGCUCAACCGCAAGCGGUCGUGGGAAACUGGGUGGCUAGAGUGCGGGAGAGGAGAGUGGAAUUCCUGGUGUAGCGGUGGAAUGCGCAGAUAUCAGGAGGAACACCGGUGGCGAAGGCGGGUCUCUGGGCCGAUAUUGACGCUGAGGAGCGAAAGCGUGGGGAGCGAACAGG